This 118-nucleotide transfer RNA is filed under the name Candidatus Woesearchaeota archaeon. RNAcentral's name for it is "tRNA-Leu". It matches the Rfam family "tRNA". From Rfam's summary of the family: Transfer RNA (tRNA) molecules are approximately 80 nucleotides in length. Lineage: Archaea; Nanobdellati; Candidatus Woesearchaeota. The record is from RNAcentral.
GCGGGGGUAGCGAAGCCUGGUCAAACGCGCAGGACUCAGAAUCCUGUCCCUUAGUGGGUACGAGGGUUCAAAUUGCUGCACGCGAGCAUGCGUGGGCAUGCAUGUCCCUUCCCCCGCA